Brachypodium distachyon (stiff brome) is the source of this 136-nucleotide non-coding RNA. NCBI's taxonomy places the organism in Eukaryota, Viridiplantae, Streptophyta, Magnoliopsida, Poales, Poaceae. The record is from Rfam.
UUGUUACUCCCUCCGUCUAACAAAAGAUGUCUCGAGUUUGUCAAAAUUUGGAUGUAUCUAGACAAAACUUAGUGUAUAGAGGCAUUCAAACUUGAUCAAAAUUGAGACAUCUUUUGUUGGACAGAAGGAAUAUAUA